CAGCCGCCGCGGUAAUACGUAGGGUGCAAGCGUUGUCCGGAAUUAUUGGGCGUAAAGAGCUCGUAGGCGGUUUGUCGCGUCUGCUGUGAAAUCCCGAGGCUCAACCUCGGGCUUGCAGUGGGUACGGGCAGACUAGAGUGCGGUAGGGGAGAUUGGAAUUCCUGGUGUAGCGGUGGAAUGCGCAGAUAUCAGGAGGAACACCGAUGGCGAAGGCAGAUCUCUGGGCCGUAACUGACGCUGAGGAGCGAAAGCGUGGGGAGCGAACAGGAUUAGAUACCCCGGUAGUCCCUGUCUCUUAUAC
This 301-nucleotide ribosomal RNA is filed under the name uncultured bacterium. RNAcentral describes it as "partial 16S ribosomal RNA". It matches the Rfam family "Bacterial small subunit ribosomal RNA", at positions 509 to 807 of the family's 1533-position model. The record is from RNAcentral.